Molecule: ribosomal RNA, 301 nt
Filed under: uncultured bacterium
Lineage: Bacteria
Description: partial 16S ribosomal RNA
Rfam family: Bacterial small subunit ribosomal RNA
Source: RNAcentral
CAGUCGCCGCGGUAACACGUAGGUGGCGAGCGUUGUCCGGAAUUAUUGGGCGUAAAGGGAGCGCAGGCGGACAUAUAAGUCCAUCUUAAAAGUGCGGGGCUCAACCCCGUGAGGGGAUGGAAACUGUAUGCCUUGAGUGCAGGAGAGGAAAGCGGAACUCCCAGUGUAGCGGUGAAAUGCGUAGAUAUUGGGAGGAACACCAGUGGCGAAGGCGGCUUUCUGGACUGUAACUGACGCUGAGGCUCGAAAGCCAGGGGAGCGAACGGGAUUAGAUACCCCCGUAGUCCCUGUCUCUUAUACA